This 429-nucleotide ribosomal RNA is filed under the name Erysipelothrix sp. J45. RNAcentral's name for it is "bacterial SSU rRNA". It matches the Rfam family "Bacterial small subunit ribosomal RNA", at positions 79 to 495 of the family's 1533-position model. Lineage: Bacteria; Bacillati; Bacillota; Erysipelotrichia; Erysipelotrichales; Erysipelotrichaceae. The record is from RNAcentral.
UUUACUUUUUCAAUCUUAGUGGCGAACGGGUGAGUAAUACAUAAGCAACCUGCCUCACUGCCUGGGAUAACUGAUGGAAACGUCAGCUAAUACCGGAUAGCUUAUCUUAAGACAUCUUAAGAUAAUUAAAGAUGGGAUACAUCACAAUGAGAUGGGCUUAUGGCGCAUUAGUUAGUUGGUAAGGUAACGGCUUACCAAGACGAUGAUGCGUAGCCGACCUGAGAGGGUGACCGGCCACACUGGGACUGAGACACGGCCCAGACUCCUACGGGAGGCAGCAGUGGGGAAUUUUCGGCAAUGGGGGAAACCCUGACCGAGCAACGCCGCGUGAGUGAAGAAGGCCUUCGGGUUGUAAAGCUCUGUUGUAAGGGAAGAACAAGUGUGAGAGGGAAUGCUCAUGCUAUGACGGUACCUUACCAGAAAGCCACG